This 504-nucleotide ribosomal RNA is filed under the name uncultured bacterium. RNAcentral describes it as "bacterial SSU rRNA". It matches the Rfam family "Bacterial small subunit ribosomal RNA", at positions 21 to 507 of the family's 1533-position model. The record is from RNAcentral.
GGCUCAGGAUGAACGCUGGCGGCGUGCCUAAUACAUGCAAGUCGAGCGAACAGACGAGGAGCUUGCUCCUCUGACGUUAGCGGCGGACGGGUGAGUAACACGUGGAUAACCUACCUAUAAGACUGGGAUAACUUCGGGAAACCGGAGCUAAUACCGGAUAAUAUAUUGAACCGCAUGGUUCAAUAGUGAAAGACGGUUUUGCUGUCACUUAUAGAUGGAUCCGCGCCGCAUUAGCUAGUUGGUAAGGUAACGGCUUACCAAGGCAACGAUGCGUAGCCGACCUGAGAGGGUGAUCGGCCACACUGGAACUGAGACACGGUCCAGACUCCUACGGGAGGCAGCAGUAGGGAAUCUUCCGCAAUGGGCGAAAGCCUGACGGAGCAACGCCGCGUGAGUGAUGAAGGUCUUCGGAUCGUAAAACUCUGUUAUUAGGGAAGAACAAAUGUGUAAGUAACUAUGCACGUCUUGACGGUACCUAAUCAGAAAGCCACGGCUAACUACGUG